UUUCCAGAGAUGGAUUGGUGCCUUCGGGAACUCUGACACAGGUGCUGCAUGGCUGUCGUCAGCUCGUGUCGUGAGAUGUUGGGUUAAGUCCCGCAACGAGCGCAACCCUUGCCUUUAGUUGCCAGCAGUUCGGCUGGGCACUCUAAAGGGACUGCCGGUGUUAAACCGGAGGAAGGUGGGGAUGACGUCAAGUCCUCAUGGCCUUUAUGACCAGGGCUACACACGUACUACAAUGGCCGAUACAAAGGGCAGCGACACUGCGAGGUGAAGCCAAUCCCGUAAAAUCGGUCUCAGUCCGGAUUGGAGUCUGCAACUCGACUCCAUGAAGUUGGAAUCGCUAGUAAUCGUGGAUCAGCAUGCCACGGUGAAUACGUUCCCGGGCCUU
Molecule: ribosomal RNA, 385 nt
Filed under: uncultured Desulfobulbus sp.
Lineage: Bacteria; Pseudomonadati; Thermodesulfobacteriota; Desulfobulbia; Desulfobulbales; Desulfobulbaceae
Description: bacterial SSU rRNA
Rfam family: Bacterial small subunit ribosomal RNA
Source: RNAcentral